CAACCCUCUUCAACAUAAAAACAAAGCAAUUUCUCAUUUUCCUUCUCAAUUAUCCUUUCUAUAUCUCAAAAAUUCGUACUUAAAAAAAUAAUAGAAUUUGCUAAUUUUGAAGAAUUUUCGAGUUUGCGUUGCAUCUUCAGUAAAUUUUUACCAGGUUGAUAUUUUAACAGAUACAAGCUGUUAAGUGCGACUUGUGCUUAUAGCAG
This 206-nucleotide unclassified non-coding RNA is filed under the name Hevea brasiliensis (rubber tree). Lineage: Eukaryota; Viridiplantae; Streptophyta; Magnoliopsida; Malpighiales; Euphorbiaceae. The record is from RNAcentral.